Sapajus apella (tufted capuchin) is the source of this 402-nucleotide long non-coding RNA. RefSeq lists it as uncharacterized. The record is from RefSeq and is a predicted model, not a curated record. NCBI's taxonomy places the organism in Eukaryota, Metazoa, Chordata, Mammalia, Primates, Cebidae. The transcript is spliced from 2 exons.
AGGCUGGAGUGCAGUGGUGCAGUCUUGGCUCACUGCAACCUUCACUUUCCGGGUUCAAGUGAUUCUUUUUUGUGGAUCUUAUUUUCAAAUUGUAGGGAGCAAGGAAAUAAAUACUUUUAGGUAAGAAUAAGUGCAAUCAGUUCAUUAAAACAGGAUAAUAGGAGAGGGAGAGAGAGAGCGCGCGCGCGCGCGAGCGAGCAGUGGAACAGGAUGGCCAGGGAAGAAUUAUUUGAGCAGAUGACUGAUCUGAUGUAGAUGAUGAGAGCCACGUGAAGACCUAGGGGAGAGGCUCCAGGCUAAAGGAACUGCCAUUGCAAAGGUCCUAAGGCAAAAACUAGCUUGGGGUUUGGAAGGUGUGUGAGGGGCAUUGUAGCUGAAGCAUGGGUAGACAAUAAGGAAAAG